Molecule: non-coding RNA, 4230 nt
Organism: Macaca mulatta (Rhesus monkey)
Lineage: Eukaryota; Metazoa; Chordata; Mammalia; Primates; Cercopithecidae
Source: RefSeq, a predicted model, not a curated record
UCUUUGACCCCGUAAAGUCACUGCCCGGAGCUAAGAUGGCAGCGUUGGUGGCAGCUGCAGCCCGGCGGCUGCGGCGGGCCAUUCGAAGGUCGCUCGCAUGGCGGGGCCCCAGCCAUCGGCUGCUCUCAUCGGAGCCCCCUGCAGCCAAGGCCUCGGCCGUGAGGGCCGCCUUUCUGAACUUCUUUCGGGACCGCCAUGGCCACCGGCUGGUGCCCUCCGCCUCCGUGCGGCCCCGCGGCGACCCCAGUUUGCUUUUUGUCAACGCGGGCAUGAACCAGUUCAAGCCAAUCUUUCUGGGCACCGUGGAUCCACGAAGCGAAAUGGCAGGCUUCCGACGUGUGGCCAACAGCCAGAAAUGUGUGAGAGCUGGAGGACGCCAUAACGACCUGGAAGAUGUGGGUCGAGACCUUUCCCAUCAUACCUUCUUUGAAAUGCUUGGCAAUUGGGCCUUUGGGGGUGAAUAUUUUAAGGAGGAGGCAUGUAGCAUGGCCUGGGAACUGCUGACUCAGGUCUAUGGGAUCCCUACGGAAAGGCUCUGGGUCUCCUACUUUGAUGGUGACCCUAAGGCAGGGUUGGAGCCAGACUUGGAGACCAGGGACAUUUGGCUGAGCUUAGGGGUGCCUGCUACUCGUGUGCUUUCCUUUGGACCACAAGAGAACUUCUGGGAGAUGGGGAAUACCGGCCCUUGUGGACCCUGUACCGAGAUCCACUAUGACCUUGCUGGUGGGGUGGGAGCCCCCCAGCUGGUAGAACUUUGGAACCUGGUCUUCAUGCAACACAACAGAGAGGCAGAUGGAAGCCUGCAGCCCUUGCCCCAGUGGCAUGUGGACACAGGAAUGGGCCUGGAAAGGCUGGUGGCUGUGCUGCAAGGCAAACACUCCACCUAUGACACUGACCUCUUUUCCCCGCUGCUCCACGCCAUACAGCAGGGCUGCAGGGCACCCCCUUACUUGGGCCGGGUAGGGGUGGCAGACGAGGGGCGCACAGACACAGCGUACCGCGUGGUGGCUGACCACAUCCGCACACUCAGUGUCUGCAUCUCUGAUGGCGUCUUCCCUGGGAUGUCAGGUCCCCCGCUGGUUCUUCGUCGGAUCCUCCGUCGAGCUGUACGUUUCUCCAUGGAGAUCUUAAAGGCACCACCUGGCUUCCUAGGCAGCCUGGUGCCUGUAGUGGUGGAGACAUUGGGAGAUGCUUAUCCAGAACUGCAAAGGAACUCAGCCCAGAUCUCCAACCUGGUGUUAGAGGACGAGGCAGCCUUCCUGGCCUCCCUGGAGCGGGGUCGGCGGAUCAUUGAUCGGACUCUGAGGACCCUGGGGCCUUCAGAUAUGUUCCCUGCUGAAGUGGCCUGGUCCUUGUCACUGUCUGGAGACCUGGGGCUCCCCUUGGACAUGGUAGAGCUGAUGCUGGAGGAGAAAGGGGUCCAGCUGGACUCCACUGGACUGGAGCGGUUGGCCCAGGAGGCGGCCCAGCACCAGGCACGGCAGGCUGAGCCAGUUCAGAAGCAGGGAUUGUGGCUUGAUGUCCAUGCACUGGGGGAGCUGCAGCGCCAAGGAGUGCCCCCAACUGACAGCAGCCCCAAGUACAACUACUCCCUGCGACCCAACGGAAGUUAUGAGUUCGGCACCUGUGAGGCCCAGGUGUUGCAACUGUAUACAGAGGACGGGACAGCAGUGGCCUCUGUGGGGAAAGGCCAGCGUUGUGGCCUCCUCUUGGACAGGACCAACUUCUACGCAGAACAGGGGGGCCAGGCUUCAGACCGUGGCUACCUGGUGCGGGUAGGGCAAGAGGACGUGCUGUUCCCAGUAGCCCGGGCCCAGGUCUGUGGGGGUUUCAUCCUGCAUGAGGCAGUAGCCCCUGAGUGCCUACAGAUCGGGGACCAGGUGCAGCUGCAUGUGGAUAAGGCCUGGCGUCUAGCCUGCAUGGCGAAGCACACGGCCACCCACCUGCUGAACUGGGCACUGCGGCAGACCCUGGGCCCUGGCACAGAGCAGCAGGGCUCCCAUCUCAAUCCUGAGCAGCUGCGCUUGGAUGUGACCACCCAGACCGCAUUGACCCCAGAGCGGCUCCGGGCAGUGGAGAACACUGUGCAGGAGGCCGUGCAGCAGGAUAAGCCUGUGUACAUGGAGGAGGUGCCCCUGGCGCUCACUGCCCAGGUCCCUGGCCUGCGCUGUCUGGAUGAAGUUUACCCAGACCCUGUACGGGUGGUGUCAGUGGGGGUACCCGUGGCCCAUGCAUUGGACCCAGCCUCCCAAGCCGCACUGCAGACCUCUGUGGAGCUGUGCUGUGGGACGCACCUGUUACGUACAGGGGCUGUAGGGGACCUGGUUAUCAUCGGGGACCGCCAGCUUUCCAAGGGCACUACCCGCCUGCUGGCCAUCACUGGGGAGCAGGCCCAGCAGGCCCGAGAGCUAGGCCAGAACCUGGCUCAGGAAGUGAAAGCAGCCACUGAGCGACUGAGUCAGGGGAGCCGGGAUGUGGCAGAGGCACUGAGGCUGUCCAAGGACAUAGGACGACUCAUUGAAGUGAGGGCCACGCCUACUGUGGAGCUGUUCGCCACCCUCUCCUGGCCCUAUUCCCUCCCCUAUUCCUCCCUGGACCCCUCUAGACUCUCCCUAGCACUCCAAUCGGGUUGGGCUCCAGCUGGCCCAGAUGUUUGUCUACAGGGUGGGUGUCUUCCCUGGCCCUGCUGGUCCCUACCUCAGAGACUAUGGCUCAGGGAAGGGCAGGGGUGAUGCACUGCUUCUGGCCAUAGGCUGUGGAAACUUCUGUGAUGCCCCAGUGGCAGCGGCGGGAGCUGCUGGCCACACUGAAGAUGCUGCAGCGGCGUGCCAACACUGCCAUCCGUAAGCUGCAGAUGGGGCAGGUGAGAGGAGGUUUGGCUGCACCCAUGUGCCCAGAGACACUCCAGCACAUAUACUGAGAAGUCUCAAGGGCUGGGGCGUGGGGGCUGCAAAGAAAACUCAGGAGCUGCUGGAGCGGCACUCGAAGGGGCCUCUGAUUGUGGACACGGUCUCUGCUGAGUCUCUCUCAGUGCUGGUGAAGGUGGUACGGCAGCUGUGUGAGCAGGCCCCCAGCACAUCUGUGCUCCUACUCAGCCCCCAGUCCAUGGGGAAGGUGCUGUGUGCCUGUCAGGUGGCCCAGGGUGCCAUGCCCACUUUCACAGCAGAGGCCUGGGCACUGGCAGUGUGCAGCCACAUGGGGGGCAAGGCCUGGGGCUCGCGAGUGGUGGCCCAAGGCACCGGAAGCACUACUGACCUGGAAGCUGCCCUCAGUACAGCCCGAGCCUAUGCCCUCAGCCAGCUCUGACCCAGGCCCACCCGGGGACCCGCAUGGACUAAAGGCAAUGCCAGGAGCCCUGAAGGAGCCAGCAGAAUCUUCCCACUGGCUGAAGCAAGGACUAGAGGCUGGAGGCCAAGCAACUGAACCAAAGAGGAUCACCUGGGCCAGGCCCUACCUGACACAAGGAGACAUGGGCUAGGGAAGGCAGAAGUGGGCCCAAAGACACACACCCCCUUGCUGAAUGAGAAGACAUGGGCAAUUAUGGCUGUGACUGCACAUUAGAAAUUAUUUCACUGGCCGGGUAUGGUGGUUCACGCCUGUAAUCCCAGCACUUUGGGAGGCCGAGGCAGGAUCAUGAGGUCAAGAGAUCAAAACCAUCCUGGCUAACACGGUGAAACCCCAUCUCUGCUAAAAAUUCAAAAAAAUUAGUCAGGCGUGGUGGCACACGCCUGUAGUCCCAGCUACUCGGGAGGCUGAAGCAGAAGAAUCGCUUGAACCUGGGAGGCGGAGGCUGCAGUGGGCUGAGAUCGCACCACUGCACUCCAACCUGGGUGACAGAACGAGACUCUGUCUCAAAUAAGUAAAUAAUUUCACAGAGGACAGGAAGCUGCAGAGGUUCUGUUACUUUAAAAAAGAGUAGUUUUGCCCCUCCCAGCAACCUGGUAUGGGUGCCCUAACACCAGUCUGAACUCACACUGUCUGAAAGGCCACCCAGGAUCCAAAUCAGGCCAUCUUCAUUGCCAUGAGUGUUCAGACAGGCUCUGCGUGCCAGGCAACAGUGGGCCCUGACAAAGGGCUCCUUGGCUACUGGGACAACACGGAACCAUCCUGUGAAAAUCAUUUCAGCAGUGGAGACCUUUGCUAUCACUUCUUUCAUUAGCAAUGACCUCUAAAUAAAAUUAGGCCCUGCUGGUUUGUCGAUGAGCAACUGAGAACGUGGCGGGCACCAAA